Molecule: unclassified non-coding RNA, 473 nt
Filed under: Hevea brasiliensis (rubber tree)
Lineage: Eukaryota; Viridiplantae; Streptophyta; Magnoliopsida; Malpighiales; Euphorbiaceae
Source: RNAcentral
CAGGAAAUUUCUUGAGCAAUAUAUUAAGUAAUAAUUAUUAUACAUUCCAAUAUUCACUUGAUAUAAACAUAGCCAAGCAAAAUUUUAGUCCAUCAAUUUUGGAUAUACGCAACACUGUAUGCAUUUGUGUGAUGUCUAUAGCCAUGGACUUAAUAAUAUCUCUACCGCCAAGAACUUGUCUUCUUCUAAAUAAUGAAAUUGAGGCAUAGUAUCCCUUAAAAUUGGUAUCAUGAGGAACAAUGAUUGCAUAUAUUCUGAAGUGGAGAGGCGAAGUUUCGCGGAAGCUGUGUUUGCACAUGCAAGUGGGGUAGGGGAUGAUUUGGAGGUGGAGACGAUAAUGUUUGCAGUUACUCAGGGGUCAGGGGUCAGGGGUCAGGAUUAGGAUGGGGUAUUUGCAGGCAGUUUUUUUGGAGGCAAGUGAUAAUUGAAGCUUGGGAGAUAUGAAGGGAAGAUUUGAAACGGUAACAUUCUUG